AAAAAGUCAGUUGAACCACAACAUUAACUUGUCACGUUAAAAUUAUUAAUCAUUUUAAUACAAUUUA
RNAcentral lists this transfer RNA (67 nucleotides) under Yersinia mexicana. Its description in RNAcentral is "tRNA-Asp". The record is from RNAcentral. Lineage: Eukaryota; Metazoa; Arthropoda; Insecta; Mantodea; Amelidae.